UGCCAGCCGCCGCGGUAAUACGGAGGAUCCAAGCGUUAUCCGGAAUCAUUGGGUUUAAAGGGUCCGCAGGCUGUUGUUUAAGUCAGAGGUGAAAGUUUGCAGCUCAACUGUAAAAUUGCCUUUGAUACUGGAUGACUUGAGUUAUAAUGAAGUGGUUAGAAUAUGUAGUGUAGCGGUGAAAUGCAUAGAUAUUACAUAGAAUACCGAUUGCGAAGGCAGAUCACUAAUUAUAUACUGACGCUGAGGGACGAAAGCGUGGGGAGCGAACAGGAUUAGAUA
Molecule: ribosomal RNA, 279 nt
Filed under: uncultured bacterium
Lineage: Bacteria
Description: partial 16S ribosomal RNA
Rfam family: Bacterial small subunit ribosomal RNA
Source: RNAcentral